This 225-nucleotide ribosomal RNA is filed under the name uncultured bacterium. RNAcentral's name for it is "partial 16S ribosomal RNA". It matches the Rfam family "Bacterial small subunit ribosomal RNA", at positions 942 to 1167 of the family's 1533-position model. The record is from RNAcentral.
UGGUUUAAUUCGAUGAUACGCGAGGAACCUUACCCGGGCUUGAAUUGCAGAGGAAGGAUUUGGAGACAAUGACGCCCUUCGGGGCCUCUGUGAAGGUGCUGCAUGGUUGUCGUCAGCUCGUGCCGUGAGGUGUCGGCUUAAGUGCCAUAACGAGCGCAACCCCUCUCCUUAGUUGCCAUCAGGUUAAGCUGGGCACUCUGGGGACACUGCCACCGUAAGGUGUGA